RNAcentral lists this ribosomal RNA (419 nucleotides) under uncultured bacterium. RNAcentral describes it as "bacterial SSU rRNA". It matches the Rfam family "Bacterial small subunit ribosomal RNA", at positions 31 to 496 of the family's 1533-position model. The record is from RNAcentral.
GUACGCUGGCGGCACGCCUAACACAUGCAAGUCGAACGCAGUAGCAAUACUGAGUGGCAAACGGGUGAGUAUAAUGUGGGAAUCUGCCUUUUGGUUUGGAAUAACACGGGGAAACUUGUGCUAAUACCGAAUAAGCCUUUACAGGGAAAGUUUUAAUGCCGAAAGAUGAGCCCGCACUUGAUUAGCUAGUUGGUAAGGUAAAAGCUUACCAAGGCAAUGAUCAAUAGCUGUUCUUAGAGGAAGACCAGCCACAUUGGGACUGAGACACGGCCCAGACUCCUACGGGAGGCAGCAGUGGGGAAUCUUGCACAAUGGGGGAAACCCUGAUGCAGCGAUGCCGCGUGAGUGAAGAAGGCCCUUGGGUUGUAAAACUCUUUCGUCGGGGAAGAAAAUGACUGUACCCGAAUAAGAAGGUCCGG